This is a long non-coding RNA of Drosophila yakuba, 922 nucleotides long. RefSeq lists it as uncharacterized. The record is from RefSeq and is a predicted model, not a curated record. Lineage: Eukaryota; Metazoa; Arthropoda; Insecta; Diptera; Drosophilidae. The transcript has 2 exons.
UAAAAUCAAAGUGUUACACGACAAUCCGUGCAGGUGUCAUUGAGACUUGCGAAUGAUUUGGCGCCAGCCAGUUGAUGGCGCCAACAUAUAGCGAGAGAAUCCAAGUCCCCAAGUCGACCAUAUCUCCGAAAUCCAAAGCCAAAAACCAAAACUUCCCAAAUACAUUUCAAUUUGUGCGGCUAUUGCGAUAAGUCCAAGUUUAUCCUGUGGCAAACUGUCGCAAAGUUUCGCACAAAUCUUGUGGCAUGGCAAACAGUCUAGUGACUUCAGUCUUUGCAGCCAGUUUGUUAUAUCUGUUUGUCAAAACGAAAAUAAAAAGAAGCCUUUUAGGAACUCACUGAAAAUAUUCUCAUUGCCGCAGCUGCAGAACAAAUAUACACACAUUGGUUUGGAAGUCAUGCAUACCAAAUGUUUCACAACACAGAACGAACAUUGGGAACUAGGGAAGCACCUUUGCGUUUCAAAUCUGGCAUGAUGUUUUUGUUUUAAAGCCAUUUCGAUGGCUUACAUUUUGCUUAUAUUCAGUUUGCUUGAUUCCCGGCUUUCUGUCACCUUACGAUCUCAUUGAAAAUAUACUUCUAAUGGCCCAUAAAGUCCACAACAGCUAGAAGCAACCGCAGCAGCUAUAAUUCUAGACUUCUGGGAAGCAUGGGAAGAUAACCGCGAAUUUAAAAAGCGGCGAGAAUGGACCGAAUUCAUUUAGUUUAGUUUCAAGCAGCAACUUCCGUUUUCAGAUUGACUCUGAUACCAACAAGACCAAGCUGAGCUUAUCAUCUUUUACCAUAAUUAUACUACGUCUUUUGCGCCUUUUUUUCGAGAACUUUGGGUGACCAGCGAAAAAGCUAACGGCCAUCGCAGAAGCGCAAAUUAAAAUUUAAAUAAAUAGCAACCAGCUGGCAAAUAUAAUUCUCUUUGUCCACUU